AGAGCGAACGCUGGCGGCAGGCUUAAUACAUGCAAGUCGAGCGCCUGUAGCAAUACAGGAGCGGCAGACGGGAGAGUAACACGUGGGAACGUGCCCUUUGGUUCGGAACAACACAGGGAAACUUGUGCUAAUACCGGAUAAGCCCUUACGGGGAAAGAUUUAUUGCCAAAGGAUCGGCCCGCGUCUGAUUAGCUAGUUGGUGAGGUAAUGGCUCACCAAGGCGACGAUCAGUAGCUGGUCUGAGAGGAUGAUCAGCCUCAUUGGGACUG
RNAcentral lists this ribosomal RNA (269 nucleotides) under uncultured soil bacterium. RNAcentral describes it as "partial 16S ribosomal RNA". It matches the Rfam family "Bacterial small subunit ribosomal RNA", at positions 26 to 321 of the family's 1533-position model. The record is from RNAcentral.